ACGUAGGGAGCAAGCGUUAUCCGGAUUUAUUGGGUGUAAAGGGUGCGUAGGCGGUUUAUUAGGUCUAUGGUUUAAUUCCGAAGCUUAACUUCGGUUCGCCAUAGAAACCGAUUUACUUGAGUAUGGUAGAGGCAAGUGGAAUUUCUAGUGUAGCGGUAAAAUGCGUAGAUAUUAGAAGGAACACCAGUGGCGAAGGCGACUUGCUGGGCCAUCACUGACGCUGAGGCACGAAAGCGUGGGGAGCAAAUAG
This 250-nucleotide ribosomal RNA is filed under the name uncultured bacterium. Its description in RNAcentral is "partial 16S ribosomal RNA". It matches the Rfam family "Bacterial small subunit ribosomal RNA", at positions 525 to 775 of the family's 1533-position model. The record is from RNAcentral.